Molecule: ribosomal RNA, 406 nt
Filed under: uncultured bacterium
Lineage: Bacteria
Description: partial 16S ribosomal RNA
Rfam family: Bacterial small subunit ribosomal RNA
Source: RNAcentral
AUUGAACGCUGGCGGCAGGCCUAACACAUGCAAGUCGAACGAGUGGCGGACGGGUGAGUAAUGUCUGGGAAACUGCCUGAUGGAGGGGGAUAACUACUGGACACGGUAGCUAAUACCGCAUACCAUCGGAUGUGCCCAGAUGGGAUUAGCUAGUAGGUGGGGUAACGGUGCCCCUAGGCGACGCUCCCUAGCUGGUCUGAGAGGAUGACCAGCCACCAGGGAACUGAGACACGGUCCGGACUCCUGCGGGAGGCAGAAGUGGGGAAGAUUGAACAAUGGGUGCAACACUGACGAAGCCAUGCCGCGUGUAUGAAGAAGGCCUUCGGGUUGUAAAGUACUUUCAGCGGGGAGGCGUUACCCGCAGAAGAAGCACCGGCUAACUCCGUGCCAGCAGCCGCGGUAAUUC